This 467-nucleotide ribosomal RNA is filed under the name uncultured bacterium. Its description in RNAcentral is "partial 16S ribosomal RNA". It matches the Rfam family "Bacterial small subunit ribosomal RNA", at positions 29 to 507 of the family's 1533-position model. The record is from RNAcentral.
AACGAACGCUGGCGGUAGGCCUAACACAUGCAAGUCGAACGGCAGCAUCGUAACUGCUUGCGCUCACGGGUGGCGCGCGGCGGACGCGGCAGGUAUACAUCGAACACUACUUUGUCGUGGGGGAUAACGUAGGGAAACUUACUCUAAUACCACAUACGACCUCCUUGUGUAGGCCGGGGAUCUUUGGGCCUGUCGGGUUUGGAUGAGCCUAUGUCGGAUUAGCUAGUUGGCGGGGUAAAGGCCUACCAAGGCGACGAUCCAUAGCUGGUAUGAGAGGAUGAUCAGGCACACUGGGACUGAGACACGGCCCAGACUCCUACGGGAGGCAGCAGUGGGGAAUAUUGGACAAUGGGCGAAAGCCUGAUCCAGCAAUGCCGCGUGAGUGAUGAAGGCCUUAGGGUUGUAAAGCUCUUUUACCCGGGAUGAUAAUGACAGUACCGGGAGAAUAAGCGCCGGCUAACUCCGUG